RNAcentral lists this ribosomal RNA (478 nucleotides) under uncultured bacterium. Its description in RNAcentral is "partial 16S ribosomal RNA". It matches the Rfam family "Bacterial small subunit ribosomal RNA", at positions 28 to 523 of the family's 1533-position model. The record is from RNAcentral.
GACGAACGCUGGCGGCGUGCUUAACACAUGCAAGUCGAACGGUAAGGCCCUUCGGGGUACACGAGUGGCGAACGGGUGAGUAACACGUGGGUGAUCUGCCCUGCACUUCGGGAUAAGCCUGGGAAACUGGGUCUAAUACCGGAUAGGACCCUGGGAUGCAUGUCCUGGGGUGGAAAGCUUUUGCGGUGUGGGAUGGGGCCGCGGCCUAUCAGCUUGUUGGUGGGGUGAUGGCCGACCAAGGCGACGACGGGUAGCCGGCCUGAGAGGAUGACCGGCCACGCUGGGACUGAGAUACGGCCCAGACUCCUACGGGAGGCAGCAGUGGGGAAUAUUGCACAAUGGGCGCAAGCCUGAUGCAGCGACGCCGCGUGAGGGAUGACGGCCUUCGGGUUGUAAACCUCUUUCAGCACCGACGAAGCGCAAGUGACGGUAGGUGCAGAAGAAGGACCGGCCAACUACGUGCCAGCCGCCGCAGUAA